UUCUCGUUGAUCCUGCCAGACCCGACUGCUAUCAGAGUGGGACUAAGCCAUGCGAGUCAACGCAGCAAUGCGUGGCAUACGGCUCAGUAACACGUAGUCAACAUGCCCAGGGGACGUGGAUAACCUCGGGAAACUGAGGAUAAACCGCGAUAGGCCAAGGUUUCUGGAAUGGACACUGGCUGAAACCUACAUGGCCCCUGGAUUGGACUGCGGCCGAUCAGGCUGUUGGUGAGGUAAUGGCCCACCAAACCUGUAACCGGUACGGGCUUUGAGAGAAGGAGCCCGGAGAUGGGCACUGAGACAAGGGCCCAGGCCCUAUGGGGCGCAGCAGGCGCGAAAAUUCUGCAAUAGGCGAAAGCUUGACAGAGUUACUCUGAGUGAUGCCCGCUAAGGGCAUCUUUUGGCACCUCUAAAAAUGGUGCAGAAUAAGGGGUGGGCAAGUCUGGUGUCAGCCGCCGCGGUAAUACCAGCACCCCGAGUGGUCGGGACGAUUAUUGGGCCUAAAGCAUCCGUAGCUUGUUCUGCAAGUCUUCCGUUAAAUCCACCUGCUCAACAGAUGGGCUGCGGGAGAUACUACAGGGCUAGGAGGCGGGAGAGGCAAGCGGUACUCAGUGGGUAGGGGUAAAAUCCUCUGAUCCACUGAAGACCACCAGUGGCGAAGGCGGCUUGCCAGAACGCGCUCGACGGUGAGGGAUGAAAGCUGGGGGAGCAAACCGGAUUAGAUACCCGGGUAGUCCCAGCUGUAAACGAUGCAGAUCGGGUGAAUGGGGUUGGCUUU
This 778-nucleotide ribosomal RNA is filed under the name uncultured archaeon. Its description in RNAcentral is "bacterial SSU rRNA". It matches the Rfam family "Archaeal small subunit ribosomal RNA", at positions 1 to 788 of the family's 1478-position model. The record is from RNAcentral.